Molecule: ribosomal RNA, 712 nt
Filed under: uncultured Bacilli bacterium
Lineage: Bacteria; Bacillati; Bacillota; Bacilli
Description: bacterial SSU rRNA
Rfam family: Bacterial small subunit ribosomal RNA
Source: RNAcentral
ACAUGCAAGUCGAACGCUUCUUUCCUCCCGAGUGCUUGCACUCAAUUGGAAAGAGGAGUGGCGGACGGGUGAGUAACACGUGGGUAACCUACCCAUCAGAGGGGGAUAACACUUGGAAACAGGUGCUAAUACCGCAUAACAGUUUAUGCCGCAUGGCAUAAGAGUGAAAGGUGCUUUCGGGUGUCGCUGAUGGAUGGACCCGCGGUGCAUUAGCUAGUUGGUGAGGUAACGGCUCACCAAGGCCACGAUGCAUAGCCGACCUGAGAGGGUGAUCGGCCACACUGGGACUGAGACACGGCCCAGACUCCUACGGGAGGCAGCAGUAGGGAAUCUUCGGCAAUGGACGAAAGUCUGACCGAGCAACGCCGCGUGAGUGAAGAAGGUUUUCGGAUCGUAAAACUCUGUUGUUAGAGAAGAACAAGGACGUUAGUAACUGAACGUCCCCUGACGGUAUCUAACCAGAAAGCCACGGCUAACUACGUGCCAGCAGCCGCGGUAAUACGUAGGUGGCAAGCGUUGUCCGGAUUUAUUGGGCGUAAAGCGAGCGCAGGCGGUUUCUUAAGUCUGAUGUGAAAGCCCCCGGCUCAACCGGGGAGGGUCAUUGGAAACUGGGAGACUUGAGUGCAGAAGAGGAGAGUGGAAUUCCAUGUGUAGCGGUGAAAUGCGUAGAUAUAUGGAGGAACACCAGUGGCGAAGGCGGCUCUCUGGUCUG